Molecule: ribosomal RNA, 450 nt
Filed under: Triticum aestivum (bread wheat)
Lineage: Eukaryota; Viridiplantae; Streptophyta; Magnoliopsida; Poales; Poaceae
Description: partial small subunit ribosomal RNA
Source: RNAcentral
AUGGUCCAUGAGGUUUAUUCACAGCAGUUCAAGAAUGAUUUCACACAUUUCCUUAAGCUGAGAGCCAAAGGAAUGGCCCCAAGAGGCUGGAUGAUUAUUUCCAUUAUUGGGAGGCCUUCUGAUGGAAGCACCUUCGAAUUCUUGCACACAUGGGAAGUCAUAGCUCAAACUCUAAGUAUCAUGGCCUCGGAGGGAGAUGCGGGUACGCGGCCCUACAACUCAUACGGAAGAUGCUCUCCUCACCCAACCAUGUUUGUGAACGAGAUGAGAGCCAUGUCUGAGCCGAUAAUUGUGCAGCAUUUCGGAGACAUGAUGGAUGAGUUCACCGGGAUUGGGAAGUGGUAUUGGAGCCUGGAGGGGAACUUGCAGGAAAUGCUUGCCAAGGACACAUUGGUGGCCGUAUCGCUUAGCAAGACGGCCAUGAAGAUCAAAAAUCACAUGAAGUAUUAA